GCUAGGCAUGGUGGCGCAUGCCUGUAAUCCCAGCUACUCAGGAGGCUGAGGCAGGAGAAUCACUUGAACCUGGGAGGUGGAGGUUGCAGUGAGCCGUGAUCCUGCCACUGCACUCCAGCCUGGGCGACAGAGUGAGACUCUGUCUCAA
RNAcentral lists this small RNA (148 nucleotides) under Macaca mulatta (Rhesus monkey). RNAcentral's name for it is "Metazoan signal recognition particle RNA (ENSMMUG00000060642.1)". Lineage: Eukaryota; Metazoa; Chordata; Mammalia; Primates; Cercopithecidae. The record is from Rfam by way of RNAcentral.